This 958-nucleotide ribosomal RNA is filed under the name Delftia tsuruhatensis. RNAcentral describes it as "bacterial SSU rRNA". It matches the Rfam family "Bacterial small subunit ribosomal RNA", at positions 42 to 981 of the family's 1533-position model. The record is from RNAcentral. Lineage: Bacteria; Pseudomonadati; Pseudomonadota; Betaproteobacteria; Burkholderiales; Comamonadaceae.
GCGUACGUAAACAUCACAGUCGUACGGUAGCAGCGCUAGCUCGCUACGCUGACGGGUGGGGAACGGGUGAUAAAGAACGAAACGUGGCACUCGGGGGGGAUAACUACUCGAAAGAGGGCUAAUACCGCAUACGAUCUGAGGAUGAAAGCGGGGGACCUUGGGGCCUCCGGCGAUUGGAGCGGCCGAUGGCCCAUUGUGUGAUUGGCGGGAUAAAAGCUUACCAAGCCGACAAUCUGUCGCUGGUCUGAUAGGAUGACCAGCCACACUGGGACUGAGACACGGCCCCAACUCCUACACUAGGCAGCAGUGGGGAAUUUUGGACUAUGGGCGAAAGCCUGAUCCCCUGUGCCGCGUGCCCGAUGAGGCCUUCGGGUUGUAAACUGCUUUUGUACUUAACGAAAAAGCUCCUUCUAAUACAGGGGGCCCAUGACGGUACCGACAAGAAUAAGCACCGGCUAACUACGUGCCUUCAGCCGCGGUAAUACGUAGGGUGCGAGCGUGAAUCGGAAUUACUGGGCGUCUAGCGUGCGCACGCGGUUAUGUAAGACAGAUGUGAAAUCCCCGGGCUCAACCUGUCAACUGCAUUUGUGACUGCGUGGCUAGAGUACGGUAGAGGGGGAUGAGAAUUCCGCGUGUAGCAGUGAAAUGCGUAGAUGCGCGGAGGAACACCGAUAGCGAAGCGAUCACGUGGACCUGUACUGACACUCUGACACUAAAGCGUGGAGGAGCAGACAGGGAUAGAUACCCUAGAUACUCCUACGUCCCUCCAACGAUGUCACUGGGUGAUCUGGAUGUAUGUUGUUGCUCAGUAGCUCAGCUAACUACGAGCUAUUGACCGUCCUGGUGCGACUACGGGCGCAUGCUUGAAACAUCUACAUGGAUUCACAGGUAUCCCGCCACGAGCGCUGGAUGAACGUGGGGUAAUUCGAGUUCACUCGGAAGAAACCUUAACAAACCU